UGCGACCGCGUCACGCGGCCCGUGGGUCACGUGGCGAGCCGCCCCGCCCACACCCCAGCGAGGGGGCGGGGCCGCGGCUGAGGGGUCGGGACGGGGCUCGGGGCGGAUCCGGCCCGCGAUUUCAAAAUUCCUUCCCAGCUGAGCCGUGCUGGGACUCUUAGCUCGAGUACGGUGUCAGAUUUGUGCUGUCGGAGCACACACUCCUGGAGGGGACCGGGGGUCCUUCCUGGACCCACAGGAUCAAAGUGACAGAGAGGGACUGAGAAGACAUCCACAGUCCAGCUAUCUCCAAAGGUAGCAACAGCAAAAGAGGAGAACACUUCUGUGGUUCCAUCAACAGGAGCAAGCGUAAAGAAACAUUUUUUUCUAUGAAAGGUUUGAUGAGAGUUAAUAUUGAAGUCAUUUUAUGGUUAUAUAGUCGAGCAUGUCAUUUAUAAUAGAGUAUGGAGUUUUAUGGGGUCUGCAGACAUAUAAAAAGAGGCACCGACAUUAUAAUCUAUAUAUAUUAUAUAUAGGAAGACCAGCCAGAUCCUGAAAUGACUGAUCUUUAAUUCCUACAAAUUGAAAAUUCUCAUUAAUUGCAUCCUUAAAACUGGAUUUAUCUUCACCCAAAAAUAGUGACCUUUUUUUCUCUGUUUGACUAGAGAAGCUCUUUUAUACUAUAUUGAGGAAAAGCAGUGUAAGGAGGACAUCUUUGUGCUGUCUUACAGAUUACAUUUUUUUAGAAAUAUGUUUUACAGUUCAUUAAAUGUUUGUUGCUUGAAUGGAUAUGUACAUAGUAGCACAUUAGCAUUACUUAUAGCAAUAUAUAUAACUUAGCAACAGAAAAAAAGGCAACUUAUUUGGCCUUUACCAAAGACAAACUCUGUUGCCAUUAGCAUUGGGGCUUUCAGCUGCGAUUCCUAGUGGGAAGCUGUCUGACUGACCUGACUGUACUUGCGGAACACCGAGGUAAAAUUGGGCUAACUGGAGCCUUUGUGGCCGUGCUGUGGCAGCGGGGAGCGACCGGGUGGUGGCCGGGAAUGGCACGUCUGGGUGGGAAGAUGAGGUUUGCAGUACCGGGGGUCUCUGAGCAUCCCUUGGAAGUGGCUGCCUGCCUUUAAGGCAAAGUGAUCCGCAGCCACGCUUGGCUUGUCCAGGAGGUGGUAGUGGUGCUGCGCAAGACGUCUACAUCGCCAGCCGUGUUUAACUGGCUACUCGGGAAAACAGCUCUGCUACAGAUCCACAAUUCCACCUUUUUUUACAGUCUGCUGCGUGAUUUUUAUGGCUAAAUAAUAGGAACAUAUAUAGGUAGUUGUUUUUGAAGGUAACUUGGACUAUACAGCCCUUUGAAACAUGGAUGUGCUUUGGUGAAUAAAUACAUUUUAAAUCUGCAACAU
Molecule: non-coding RNA, 1379 nt
Organism: Cyanistes caeruleus (blue tit)
Lineage: Eukaryota; Metazoa; Chordata; Aves; Passeriformes; Paridae
Source: RefSeq, a predicted model, not a curated record